GAUGAAGAACGCAGCGAAAUGCGAUACGUAAUGUGAAUUGCAGAAUUCAGUGAAUCAUCGAAUCUUUGAACGCACAUUGCGCCCCGUGGUAUUCCGCGGGGCAUGCCUGUUCGAGCGUCAUUACACCACUCAAGCCUCGCUUGGUAUUGGGCGACGCGGUACGCCGCGCGCCUCAAAUCUCUCGGCUGGUUCGAAUCGUCCCUCAGCGUUGUGGAAACUAUUCGCUAAAGGUGCGCGUUUCGGUCACGCCGUUAAACAAACCAACUCGUUAAAGGUUGACCUCGGAUCAGGUAGGGAUACCCGCUGAACUUAAGCAUAUCAAUAAGCGGAGGA
This 333-nucleotide unclassified non-coding RNA is filed under the name soil metagenome. RNAcentral's name for it is "partial contains 5.8S ribosomal RNA, internal transcribed spacer 2, and large subunit ribosomal RNA". The stretch from base 1 to 120 matches the Rfam family "5.8S ribosomal RNA", at positions 35 to 154 of the family's 154-position model. The record is from RNAcentral.